RNAcentral lists this ribosomal RNA (403 nucleotides) under uncultured bacterium. RNAcentral's name for it is "bacterial SSU rRNA". It matches the Rfam family "Bacterial small subunit ribosomal RNA", at positions 917 to 1322 of the family's 1533-position model. The record is from RNAcentral.
GGGCCCGCACAAGCGGUGGAGCAUGUGGUUUAAUUCGACGCAACGCGAAGAACCUUACCAGGUCUUGACAUCCUGCGAACUUUCUAGAGAUAGAUUGGUGCCUUCGGGAACGCAGUGACAGGUAGUGCAUGGCUGUCGUCAGCUCGUGUCGUGAGAUGUUGGGUUAAGUCCCGCAACGAGCGCAACCCACGUCUUUAGUUGCCAGCAUUUAGUUGGGCACUCUAGAGAGACUGCCGGUGAUAAACCGGAGGAAGGUGUGGAUGACGUCAAGUCAUCAUGCCCCUUACAUCCUGGGCUACACACGUGCUACAAUGGCCGGUACAGAGAGCAGCCACUACGCGAGUAGGAGCGAAUCUUCAAAGCCGGUCUCAGUUCGGAUCGCAGUCUGCAACUCGACUGCGUG